RNAcentral lists this ribosomal RNA (301 nucleotides) under uncultured bacterium. Its description in RNAcentral is "partial 16S ribosomal RNA". It matches the Rfam family "Bacterial small subunit ribosomal RNA", at positions 509 to 807 of the family's 1533-position model. The record is from RNAcentral.
CAGUCGCCGCGGUAAUACAGAGGGUGCGAGCGUUAAUUGGAUUUACUGGGCGUAAAGCGUGCGUAGGCGGCUUUUUAAGUCGGAUGUGAAAUCCCUGAGCUUAACUUAGGAAUUGCAUUCGAUACUGGGAAGCUAGAGUAUGGGAGAGGAUGGUAGAAUUCCAGGUGUAGCGGUGAAAUGCGUAGAGAUCUGGAGGAAUACCGAUGGCGAAGGCAGCCAUCUGGCCUAAUACUGACGCUGAGGUACGAAAGCAUGGGGAGCAAACAGGAUUAGAUACCCCGGUAGUCCCUGUCUCUUAUAC